Molecule: transfer RNA, 72 nt
Filed under: Dictyocaulus viviparus (bovine lungworm)
Lineage: Eukaryota; Metazoa; Nematoda; Chromadorea; Rhabditida; Metastrongylidae
Rfam family: tRNA
About the family: Transfer RNA (tRNA) molecules are approximately 80 nucleotides in length.
Source: Rfam by way of RNAcentral
AUCUCGGUAGUUCAAUCGGUAGUACACCAAACUGGAAAUAUGUAGACGUGGGUUCGAUUCCUUCCUAGGGUU